RNAcentral lists this ribosomal RNA (624 nucleotides) under Salmonella enterica subsp. enterica serovar Typhimurium. RNAcentral's name for it is "bacterial SSU rRNA". It matches the Rfam family "Bacterial small subunit ribosomal RNA", at positions 919 to 1533 of the family's 1533-position model. The record is from RNAcentral. Lineage: Bacteria; Pseudomonadati; Pseudomonadota; Gammaproteobacteria; Enterobacterales; Enterobacteriaceae.
GCCCGCACAAGCGGUGGAGCAUGUGGUUUAAUUCGAUGCAACGCGAAGAACCUUACCUGGUCUUGACAUCCACAGAACUUUCCAGAGAUGGAUUUGUGCCUUCGGGAACUGUGAGACAGGUGCUGCAUGGCUGUCGUCAGCUCGUGUUGUGAAAUGUUGGGUUAAGUCCCGCAACGAGCGCAACCCUUAUCCUUUGUUGCCAGCGAUUAGGUCGGGAACUCAAAGGAGACUGCCAGUGAUAAACUGGAGGAAGGUGGGGAUGACGUCAAGUCAUCAUGGCCCUUACGACCAGGGCUACACACGUGCUACAAUGGCGCAUACAAAGAGAAGCGACCUCGCGAGAGCAAGCGGACCUCAUAAAGUGCGUCGUAGUCCGGAUUGGAGUCUGCAACUCGACUCCAUGAAGUCGGAAUCGCUAGUAAUCGUGGAUCAGAAUGCCACGGUGAAUACGUUCCCGGGCCUUGUACACACCGCCCGUCACACCAUGGGAGUGGGUUGCAAAAGAAGUAGGUAGCUUAACCUUCGGGAGGGCGCUUACCACUUUGUGAUUCAUGACUGGGGUGAAGUCGUAACAAGGUAACCGUAGGGGAACCUGCGGUUGGAUCACCUCCUUACCUUAAAGAA